GACGAACGCUGGCGGCGUGCUUAACACAUGCAAGUCGAACGGGAAGGCCCUGCUUUUGUGGGGUGCUCGAGUGGCGAACGGGUGAGUAACACGUGAGUAACCUGCCCUUGCCUUUGGGAUAACUUCAGGCAACUGGGGCUAAUACCGGAUAGGAGCUCCUGCUGCAUGGUGGGGGUUGGAAAGUUUCGGCGGUUGGGGAUGGACUCGCGGCUUAUCAGCUUGUUGGUGGGGUAGUGGCUUACCAAGGCUUUGACGGGUCGCCCGGCUGAGAGGGGGACCGGGGACAUUGGGACUGAGAGAUGGCCCAGACACCGCCGGGGGGGAGAGGUGGGGAAAAUAGUAGAAAAGGGGGGAGACUGUGGUAGCAACGCCGUGUGGGGAAGAAGGGGCUUUGGGGAUUAAAAAGCGUUCGCCUGUGACGAGGCGAGAGUGACGGUAAUGGGUAAAGAAGCACCGGCUAACUACGUG
This 468-nucleotide ribosomal RNA is filed under the name uncultured bacterium. RNAcentral describes it as "partial 16S ribosomal RNA". It matches the Rfam family "Bacterial small subunit ribosomal RNA", at positions 28 to 507 of the family's 1533-position model. The record is from RNAcentral.